RNAcentral lists this ribosomal RNA (1376 nucleotides) under uncultured bacterium. RNAcentral describes it as "16S ribosomal RNA". It matches the Rfam family "Bacterial small subunit ribosomal RNA". The record is from RNAcentral.
UUAGAGUUUGAUCCUGGCUCAGGACGAACGCUUUUGGGGCGCCUAACACCAUGCAAGUCGAACGAGCGAGAGAGAGCUUGCUUUCUCGAGCGAGUGGCGAACGGGUGAGUAACGCGUGAGGAACCUGCCUCAAAGAGGGGGACAACAGUUGGAAACGACUGCUAAUACCGCAUAAGCCCACGGGUCGGCAUCGACCAGAGGGAAAAGGAGCAAUCCGCUUUGAGAUGGCCUCGCGUCCGAUUAGCUAGUUGGUGAGGUAACGGCCCACCAAGGCGACGAUCGGUAGCCGGACUGAGAGGUUGAACGGCCACAUUGGGACUGAGACACGGCCCAGACUCCUACGGGAGGCAGCAGUGGGGAAUAUUGCACAAUGGGGGAAACCCUGAUGCAGCGACGCCGCGUGGAGGAAGAAGGUCUUCGGAUUGUAAACUCCUGUUGUUGGGGAAGAUAAUGACGGUACCCAACAAGGAAGUGACGGCUAACUACGUGCCAGCAGCCGCGGUAAAACGUAGGUCACAAGCGUUGUCCGGAAUUACUGGGUGUAAAGGGAGCGCAGGCGGGAAGACAAGUUGGAAGUGAAAUCCAUGGGCUCAACUCAUGAACUGCUUUCAAAACUGUUUUUCUUGAGUAGUGCAGAGGUAGGCGGAAUUCCCGGUGUAGCGGUGGAAUGCGUAGAUAUCGGGAGGAACACCAGUGGCGAAGGCGGCCUACUGGGCACCAACUGACGCUGAGGCUCGAAAGUGUGGGUAGCAAACAGGAUUAGAUACCCUGGUAGUCCACACCGUAAACGAUGAUUACUAGGUGUUGGGGGGAUUUGACCCCCUCAGUGCCGCAGUUAACACAAUAAGUAAUCCACCUGGGGAGUACGACCGCAAGGUUUGAAACUCAAAGGAAUUGACGGGGGCCCGCACAAGCAGUGGAGUAUGUGGUUUAAUUCGACGCAACGCGAAGAACCUUACCAAGUCUUGACAUCCCUUGACGAUGCUGGAAACAGUAUUUCUCUUCGGAGCAAGGAGACAGGUGGUGCAUGGUUGUCGUCAGCUCGUGUCGUGAGAUGUUGGGUUAAGUCCCGCAACGAGCGCAACCCUUAUGGUCAGUUACUACGCAAGAGGACUCUGGCCAGACUGCCGUUGACAAAACGGAGGAAGGUGGGGAUGACGUCAAAUCAUCAUGCCCUUUAUGACUUGGGCUACACACGUACUACAAUGGCGUUAAACAAAGAGAAGCAAGACCGCGAGGUGGAGCAAAACUCAGAAACAACGUCCCAGUUCGGACUGCAGGCUGCAACUCGCCUGCACGAAGUCGGAAUUGCUAGUAAUCGUGGAUCAGCAUGCCACGGUGAAUACGUUCCCGGGCCUUGCACUCACCGCCCGUCA